CUGAAAACCUGUCUCACUAUGUCAAGUGUAUGUGUGGGGGGCUGAAAACCUGUCUCACUAUGUCAAGUGGAUGUGAGCUGAAAACCUGUCUCACUAUGUCAAGUGUAUGUGUGGAUGUGAGCUGAAAACCUGUCUCACUAUGUCAAGUGUAUGUGUGGGGGGCUGAAAACCUGUCUCACUAUGUCAAGUGUAUGUGUGGGGGGCUGAAAACCUGUCUCACUAUGUCAAGUGUAUGUGUGUGUGGGGGGCGGGGUGGCAGGUCACACCAUUGCUCCAUCUGAGAGAUAAAACAUCUCUCAAUUCUGUGUCUCUUUUUUCAAUGAAUGUUUACACUUUACAGCAAUUGUACUUGGGUGUACCACGAGAGGUCUACUAGUUUUAUGGCUACCAUACAUUUUAAAUGAUGUUUGCAAAAUAAGCUAAGGAGACUGGUAUGGGGAUUGUUUGAGCAGAAGAGUCUAGAUGAAACAGCACAUCAUGAGAGUGAGGGACUGAGAUCGCUUGAUUCACCUUAUCUGCUUUCUCCAGAUGAUGACACCUGUUUCUCCUCCAUCAAAGGGCAACACAAAAUGUUUUGGCAGGAAACAGAAACAGCAGACGGCCUCAAAAUUAAGUUCACAUAUAAAAUAAAAAACAUUUUGUUUAUAACUCGGUGACGACUGGUAAAAACGAGGUCAUCAACAAUCAUUCGUUGAAGCAAGCAUGUCUUUGUUUAGUGGUAACCACUUUCUUUUUGAAUUCUGUUCCUCCUUUGUGUUCUUCAAAUGUCUUUCUCUCUUGUCAUUCCCCCCCCCCCCCUCUUUGGUCUUGUUGGUGAAUACAAUCCAGUUGCUUUGAUGGCAUGAGUGCUCCAGUCCCACAGAAAUAGAUCUGAACUAGCUACUACUAUCUUGCCCUUUGGGAGAAGGAAGAGAACACUGACAUAGCUCGGAUCUUCUCCAAAUUUCCCCUCAGUGCUUUGAAGGACAAGUUACAAUUCAAAGACGAGUUGGGCAGAACCCAGAUGAUGUAACACACUCACAUACACAGCGAGUCCCAAAGCCACAUUUUCAACAUCUAGAAUUCUUUGUGCCCUUCGCACCCUUUGUUGGCAUUAGGUGCACACACACACACACACACACACGGCCCCUUCUGUGAUCAAGACCUUCAAAUCCACUGCGUAUCCAAGGCAAAGGGAAGAAGAGUGACCCAAAAUAAGGAUUUGCCAGAGCUUUGAUGAGUGAGUGCAUUUCAGCAUUCUGGACAUGUGGAUCUCUUUUCAUUCCCAAUUCAUUCCCAACAUGCUCCCUCUGGGGGUGUUUUGUGGCGUUGCAAGUCGACUUGAAGGACCAUUGUGAUGCAUCCGUGUCCCGUAUCCCUCGUCAUUUGUUUGAAUCUCACCAUGAAAGAAAUUGUGCUGAGACUGAUAUUGUUGUUGAAUAAAUGUUGGCAUAUUUUUUUUUGCCAGAAGGAACACAAACGUUUUGGGUGUGUGCAAUAUAGCGUCGCAGUUAGAUAGUGGGCUGUAUCCCUUUAAAUGUGUCGAAUUUUUCUCUUCAAAGUAGGUAUGACAACUAAAUAAAGCAACAAUUUCUACAUUGUAUAUUUGAGUAGCUUGUUAAAUCAUCCGUUUUAUUUUAUUCAUGUAUUUAUUUUGCAGUUCAGUAACUGUAUAUACACCAUAAAUAGGCACUGACAUGUAGGAUAAAACAGACACGCAAGAGCUACUAAGUAGAAAGUUGAAACACAUUGUAAUACAUUUCACUGUGUUCUAUUUAAGAAGACAACCUUCAAAACAUUAGAGAAGGUAGCAAUCACAAUACUAAGAUUGAAGAGUUAAACCCCAUCUCUGUAAAAGGCAGGACAUGCUGUAACCCUUCUUUUCCCAUAGCAUGCAAAUAAGAUCAAUCAUUUAUUUUGUUGAAACACACUAAAA
Clupea harengus (Atlantic herring) is the source of this 1915-nucleotide long non-coding RNA. The record is from Ensembl. NCBI's taxonomy places the organism in Eukaryota, Metazoa, Chordata, Actinopteri, Clupeiformes, Clupeidae.